CCUACGGGCGGCAGCAGUGAGGAAUAUUGGUCAAUGGGCGCGAGCCUGCACCCGCCAAGUAGCGUGAAGGAUGACUGCCCUACGGGUUGUACACUUCUUUUAUAAAGGACUAAAGUGAGGCACGUGUGCCUUUUUGUAUGUACUUUAUGAAUAAGGAUCGGCUACCUCCGUGCCAGCAGCCGCGGUAAUAAGGAGGCUCCGAGCGUUAUCCGGAUUUAUUGGGUUUAAAGGGAGCGUAGAUGGGUUGUUAAGUCAGUUGUGAAAGUUUGCGGCUCAACCGUAAAAUUGCACUUGAUACUGGCAGUCUUGAGUACAGUGGAGGUAGGCGGAAUUCGUGGUGUAGCGGUGAAAUGCUUAGAUAUCACGAAGAACUCCGAUUGCGAAGGCAGCUUACUAAACUGCCACUGACAUUGAUGCUCGAAAGUGUGGGUAUCAAACAGGAUUAGAUACCCCUGUAGUC
This 460-nucleotide ribosomal RNA is filed under the name uncultured bacterium. RNAcentral describes it as "partial 16S ribosomal RNA". It matches the Rfam family "Bacterial small subunit ribosomal RNA", at positions 338 to 795 of the family's 1533-position model. The record is from RNAcentral.